This 465-nucleotide ribosomal RNA is filed under the name Vreelandella stevensii. RNAcentral describes it as "partial 16S ribosomal RNA". It matches the Rfam family "Bacterial small subunit ribosomal RNA", at positions 338 to 795 of the family's 1533-position model. Lineage: Bacteria; Pseudomonadati; Pseudomonadota; Gammaproteobacteria; Oceanospirillales; Halomonadaceae. The record is from RNAcentral.
CCUACGGGUGGCAGCAGUGGGGAAUAUUGGACAAUGGGGGGAACCCUGAUCCAGCCAUGCCGCGUGUGUGAAGAAGGCCCUCGGGUUGUAAAGCACUUUCAGUGAGGAAGAACGCCUGGUGGUUAAUACCCAUCAGGAAAGACAUCACUCACAGAAGAAGCACCGGCUAACUCCGUGCCAGCAGCCGCGGUAAUACGGAGGGUGCGAGCGUUAAUCGGAAUUACUGGGCGUAAAGCGCGCGUCGGUGGCUUGAUAAGCCGGUUGUGAAAGCCCCGGGCUCAACCUGGGAACGGCAUCCGGAACUGUCAAGCUAGAGUGCAGGAGAGGAAGGUAGAAUUCCCGGUGUAGCGGUGAAAUGCGUAGAGAUCGGGAGGAAUACCAGUGGCGAAGGCGGCCUUCUGGACUGACACUGACACUGAGGUGCGAAAGCGUGGGUAGCAAACAGGAUUAGAUACCCUGGUAGUC